RNAcentral lists this ribosomal RNA (483 nucleotides) under uncultured bacterium. Its description in RNAcentral is "partial 16S ribosomal RNA". It matches the Rfam family "Bacterial small subunit ribosomal RNA", at positions 29 to 523 of the family's 1533-position model. The record is from RNAcentral.
AGUGAACGCUGGCGGCGUGCUUAACACAUGCAAGUCGAACGAGAACGGGCUAUAGCUUGCUAUAGUUGUCAGCUAAGUGGCGCACGGGUGAGUAAUGUAUAGGUAAUAUGCCUCUUACUAAGGGUAACAAAUGGAAAAGUUUUGUUAUAACCUAUAACUCUUAUUAACAGGAGGUAAUUAGGGAAAGAUUUAUUGGUAAGGGAUUAGCCUGUAUUGUAUCAGUUAGUUUGUGGGGUAAUGGCUUACCAAGACUAUGACACAUAACUGGUUUGAGAGGAUGUUCAGUCACACUGGAACUGAGACACGGUCCAGACUCCUACGGGAGGCAGCAGUGGGGAAUAUUGCACAAUGGACGAAAGUCUGAUGCAGCAACGCCGCGUGGAGGAUGACACAUUUCGGUGCGUAAACUCCUUUUAUAUGAGAAGAUAAUGACGGUAUUAUAUGAAUAAGCACCGGCUAACUCCGUGCCAGCAGCCGCAGUAA